GAGUGCAACAAUACCCAUGCCUCCUAAUGUGCCAUAUAACCUGUAUCUCGCCUAUUGUGUGUGUGUGUGUGUGUGUGUGUGUGUGUGUGUGUGUGUGUGUGUGUGUGUGUGUGUGUGUGUGUGUGUGUGUGUGUGUGUGUGUGUGUGUGUGUGUGAGUGUUCGUGAAUGUGUUCACGCAGAUAUAAGAAGUUGGGGUUGGGGUUGAUGAUCCACAUGAUGGUGAUGGACCAGGACAGCUCUGGACCUCCUGACUGGCAGCUCCAUCCUCAACCUCCCUUCCUGUCCUUCACACAUGUGCAGGCAGAGGCAGAGACAGGCAGAGGCAGUUUUCUGAAGGAUGGUUAAUGUCAGUACCAACAUGUUGUGAUGGAGGCUUCCACCUGAGCUGAACACAGAAACUUGCACACAGUGAUGGAAGCAGUCGUUCCUGUUCAGCAUUGAUAUGCCGGUAAUGGGUUUGAUGAGCCACAGCAUGGUGAUGGGCAAUCAGCAUCAGGACCAGGGCCGCUCACAAGGAGAACCUCCUGCCCUGCCUCUUCAUCCUCAACCUCCAAUCUUCCUGCUCUUCACACAUGUGCAGGCACAGAGCCAGUUUUCAGAGGGAGGGCUGAUGACACCAGCAACUUCGGAUCUGAACCUGAUCAACCCAGCACCAACCACUGUGCCGCUCCUCCUCUGCCAACUGCACCACAUGGCUCCACCAUCUCAAAAAGGCACAGACACUACUCCACUUCCUGCGAAGGAUGAGAGAAGAGCCGACCUCCCCACAACGGCACUCACCACCUUCUACAGGGGUGUCAUUGAGAGCAUCCUGACCAGCAGCCUCUCUGUCUGGCAUGGCAGCCGUCAAGCUGAAGACUAGGGGUGCAUCCCAAUAUGUGA
This is a long non-coding RNA of Engraulis encrasicolus (European anchovy), 883 nucleotides long. RefSeq lists it as uncharacterized. The record is from RefSeq and is a predicted model, not a curated record. Lineage: Eukaryota; Metazoa; Chordata; Actinopteri; Clupeiformes; Engraulidae. The transcript has 4 exons.